This is a long non-coding RNA of Contarinia nasturtii (swede midge), 361 nucleotides long. RefSeq lists it as uncharacterized. The record is from RefSeq and is a predicted model, not a curated record. Lineage: Eukaryota; Metazoa; Arthropoda; Insecta; Diptera; Cecidomyiidae. The transcript is spliced from 2 exons.
GUUACGUAUACGUCGACAUUAAUAAUCUGUCAAAACCGUAAACACAUUAUUUUCAUAACGCAAUUUUGCGAGAGUUCCUAUUAGUUGAAAAAAAUUAAAUUUUUGUGUGCAAACUGAAACGCAAAAUGGUUUAGUGCGAUGUAUGCCAGCAGAAUAUUUCGGGAAACAUUUACAAGCACAAAAGAGUUGAGCACAGUUGGGAUCGAGGUGGUAUUAAAUUGAUUAAACAGGAAGAUAAAACUCUGAUCGAAGCUAUACAAAACGAAAAAACAUUCGUUGGACCUUCGCUGUUAUAUUUGAAACGUCUCGCAAAUUAUGCGGUAACACAAAAUUUUCAAGCCACAUUUUUUGGAGUCGACUC